RNAcentral lists this transfer RNA (70 nucleotides) under Dipodomys ordii (Ord's kangaroo rat). It matches the Rfam family "tRNA". From Rfam's summary of the family: Transfer RNA (tRNA) molecules are approximately 80 nucleotides in length. Their secondary structure includes four short double-helical elements and three loops (D, anti-codon, and T loops). Further hydrogen bonds mediate the characteristic L-shaped molecular structure. tRNAs have two regions of fundamental functional importance: the anti-codon, which is responsible for specific mRNA codon recognition, and the 3' end, to which the tRNAs corresponding amino acid is attached (by aminoacyl-tRNA synthetases). tRNAs cope with the degeneracy of the genetic code in two manners: having more than one tRNA (with a specific anti-codon) for a particular amino acid; and 'wobble' base-pairing, i.e. permitting non-standard base-pairing at the 3rd anti-codon position. Lineage: Eukaryota; Metazoa; Chordata; Mammalia; Rodentia; Heteromyidae. The record is from Rfam by way of RNAcentral.
GGGAAGGUGGCUCAGUGGUAGAGCGCUUGCCUAGCAUGCAUGAGGCCCUUGGUUCGAUUCCUCAGUACCA